RNAcentral lists this ribosomal RNA (253 nucleotides) under uncultured bacterium. Its description in RNAcentral is "partial 16S ribosomal RNA". It matches the Rfam family "Bacterial small subunit ribosomal RNA", at positions 524 to 776 of the family's 1533-position model. The record is from RNAcentral.
UACAGAGGUCCCAAGCGUUGUUCGGAUUCAUUGGGCGUAAAGGGUGCGUAGGUUGCGAAGUAAGUUGGAUGUGAAAUACCGGGGCUCAACCCCGGAACUGCAUUCAAUACUGCUCCGCUCGAGUGCUGGAGAGGAGACUGGAAUUUACGGUGUAGCAGUGAAAUGCGUAGAUAUCGUAAGGAAGACCAGUGGCGAAGGCGAGUCUCUGGACAGCAACUGACACUGAGGCACGAAGGCCAGGGGAGCAAACGGG